Molecule: transfer RNA, 22 nt
Filed under: Alopecion guttatum (spotted house snake)
Lineage: Eukaryota; Metazoa; Chordata; Lepidosauria; Squamata; Lamprophiidae
Description: partial tRNA-Ser
Source: RNAcentral
GAGGGGUUUACAAGACCUGCUA